RNAcentral lists this long non-coding RNA (204 nucleotides) under Elaeis guineensis (African oil palm). RNAcentral describes it as "long non-coding RNA (EGUI_LNC055410)". The record is from RNAcentral. Lineage: Eukaryota; Viridiplantae; Streptophyta; Magnoliopsida; Arecales; Arecaceae.
UAUUCACAACUUCUGAUAUAAAUUAUCAAAGUUGGAUCCUAUAAAUCAGUCACUGUCAAAUAGUGAAUGGAGCAACGUACAUCGAGCCAUUACUAAAAAAAAAAUACAAGACCUCAAUGUUUAUGAAUUGAUUAAGCCUAAAGACUUGGACUUUAGUCUAAAGGUUCUUCCACUAUUUUAGUUGAAUUGAUAGCCUCUACCUCC